This 1469-nucleotide ribosomal RNA is filed under the name Klebsiella sp. RNAcentral's name for it is "bacterial SSU rRNA". It matches the Rfam family "Bacterial small subunit ribosomal RNA". The record is from RNAcentral. Lineage: Bacteria; Pseudomonadati; Pseudomonadota; Gammaproteobacteria; Enterobacterales; Enterobacteriaceae.
CUCAGAUUGAACGCUGGCGGCAGGCCUAACACAUGCAAGUCGAGCGGUAGCACAGAGAGCUUGCUCUCGGGUGACGAGCGGCGGACGGGUGAGUAAUGUCUGGGAAACUGCCUGAUGGAGGGGGAUAACUACUGGAAACGGUAGCUAAUACCGCAUAACGUCGCAAGACCAAAGUGGGGGACCUUCGGGCCUCAUGCCAUCAGAUGUGCCCAGAUGGGAUUAGCUAGUAGGUGGGGUAACGGCUCACCUAGGCGACGAUCCCUAGCUGGUCUGAGAGGAUGACCAGCCACACUGGAACUGAGACACGGUCCAGACUCCUACGGGAGGCAGCAGUGGGGAAUAUUGCACAAUGGGCGCAAGCCUGAUGCAGCCAUGCCGCGUGUGUGAAGAAGGCCUUCGGGUUGUAAAGCACUUUCAGCGGGGAGGAAGGCGAUAAGGUUAAUAACCUUGUUGAUUGACGUUACCCGCAGAAGAAGCACCGGCUAACUCCGUGCCAGCAGCCGCGGUAAUACGGAGGGUGCAAGCGUUAAUCGGAAUUACUGGGCGUAAAGCGCACGCAGGCGGUCUGUCAAGUCGGAUGUGAAAUCCCCGGGCUCAACCUGGGAACUGCAUUCGAAACUGGCAGGCUAGAGUCUUGUAGAGGGGGGUAGAAUUCCAGGUGUAGCGGUGAAAUGCGUAGAGAUCUGGAGGAAUACCGGUGGCGAAGGCGGCCCCCUGGACAAAGACUGACGCUCAGGUGCGAAAGCGUGGGGAGCAAACAGGAUUAGAUACCCUGGUAGUCCACGCCGUAAACGAUGUCGAUUUGGAGGUUGUGCCCUUGAGGCGUGGCUUCCGGAGCUAACGCGUUAAAUCGACCGCCUGGGGAGUACGGCCGCAAGGUUAAAACUCAAAUGAAUUGACGGGGGCCCGCACAAGCGGUGGAGCAUGUGGUUUAAUUCGAUGCAACGCGAAGAACCUUACCUGGUCUUGACAUCCACAGAACUUAGCAGAGAUGCUUUGGUGCCUUCGGGAACUGUGAGACAGGUGCUGCAUGGCUGUCGUCAGCUCGUGUUGUGAAAUGUUGGGUUAAGUCCCGCAACGAGCGCAACCCUUAUCCUUUGUUGCCAGCGGUUAGGCCGGGAACUCAAAGGAGACUGCCAGUGAUAAACUGGAGGAAGGUGGGGAUGACGUCAAGUCAUCAUGGCCCUUACGACCAGGGCUACACACGUGCUACAAUGGCAUAUACAAAGAGAAGCGACCUCGCGAGAGCAAGCGGACCUCAUAAAGUAUGUCGUAGUCCGGAUUGGAGUCUGCAACUCGACUCCAUGAAGUCGGAAUCGCUAGUAAUCGUAGAUCAGAAUGCUACGGUGAAUACGUUCCCGGGCCUUGUACACACCGCCCGUCACACCAUGGGAGUGGGUUGCAAAAGAAGUAGGUAGCUUAACCUUCGGGAGGGCGCUUACCACUUUGUGAUUCAUGACUGGGGUGAA